This 5590-nucleotide long non-coding RNA is filed under the name Malus domestica (apple). RNAcentral's name for it is "long non-coding RNA (MDOM_LNC018222)". Lineage: Eukaryota; Viridiplantae; Streptophyta; Magnoliopsida; Rosales; Rosaceae. The record is from RNAcentral.
GUUAACUAGUGAUGUCACGGUUAAUUUGGAGCAUUGUUGUUCAUAAUUCAAUGAAGUAGUAACUGGAAAUCAAGCUAUUUGCAUACAUGUCAUGUGUGGAGAAAAAGCCUCUAGCUAUCCCAUCCAUCAUCAUAUUUCUCAAAUUUGUUUUACAAUCUGUCUAGUUUUUCAUACUUGUUUGUUUGUUUCAACGUCAUCCAAAUGAAAACCCCCCUUUUAGUUCUUGUUUCAAAGUGUUUCAAAUCUGUUUUAGUUUGUGUUUUUAAGUGUUUUGAUUCAAGUAAAAGUCAAUUUUCGUCCAAAGUCAUUCCUAGUGUCUAAUUUAAGUUUAUUUGGUUGUUUUAAGCUGUUUUGAGUAUUUUAAGUUUGCUUUGAGUCUUGUGAGUCUUGUUAAGUGUUUUUAAGUUUAGUUUUAUGUUUUUUGAGUCAAUUUAGAGGUUAUUAGCAAGCCCUCCUAAUCCCCGGUUCAGAACGAUCCCUACUUAUACUUGUACUACAAUUGUCAAAGAGGGUUAAAUUUGUGUGUUAAGACAAUUUUCGCAUCAUUAGCCUAAGAUCAACAAAGUCCUUAUGAAGGAAGGAUUGUGAAGAGAUCAAGCAUUGGUGGUUUGGUUGAGUCGUAUAUGAAGUAAAAUUGCCAGGGAUCGGAUUGAUUCAUGAAUAAUUGUGGAUUAUCCUUAGGAUAGGAAUGCCUACGUGAUCAGAUAAGGUGAAUACAUCUUGUACCAGGCUAAGUUCAAAUUCCUGGCAAGAAUCAAAGAAGCUAAGACUGGAUGAAGAUGAAGUUGCAUCCUAGAGGGUAUAAAGGAAUAUUUGGGCAAAUGUUGAGCAGAUACAGUCCCAUCAAGACUCUUCCUAUGUAGGCUUGUAAUUAUCACAGAGGUUUCACCUAUAAAUAUAGAAGGUCCUGCAACUUAAAAAGACCUUUAACUCAACAAACAACAUCAAAACGCUUACGCGAAACCCUUCUCAUAACCCUGGUGUUAAUUACACUAAUACUCCCUGAGGUUUAUCGAGUUUUCACAAAAACCCCUCACGUUUGAGACAUUACACUAACACCUUUUGAAGUUUUAAUUUACUUUCACAUAAGUCCCUCAGUCAAAAUUUUGCUAAUAAAUUGACAAGUUUACCCUUACAAAUAAUUAAUUAAACAAUAAAAUAAUCAUUAUAAUUAUAUAUAUAAACAUAUUAAAAAAUUAAAUUACAAACAAGCUCAAAAAUUUCGAAAAUUCAAAGUUCUUCCAGCCCAUCAACAACGACCUUUAACCUUGCAUAAACUAGUUUAUUUUUUUUUUGGAAAAAACCGUACAAAAAUUAGUUAAAGAAAAAAGAACCAGACUUUUUUCAUCACUAAACCUAAUGGGGAAAUUUGGAAAAAUAACCAGAAUUUAGAUCCCAUAUAGAAUUAUAGCCACAAUGUUAAAUUUAUGAUAAUUAUAACCAAAAGUUGAUAUAAAAGUACUAAAAUACCCCUAAUGUCUAAAACCUUCCUCAUUUGCUGCUCUUAACCAUGAAAAAAUCAACCUUCAAGAUAAAAAAAGAUUUGAAAACAAACUAGAAGGGCUACAAAAUUCCUAGUCUCCAGAUCGCUGAUUUGGGUUCAACUUUAAUCCUUUUGGCACCAUUUGUGAAUCCCCAAAUUAUUUUCCAUCUUGAAAUCUGACGAAACAAAUAGAAUUUGUUAAUUUUGAUUUAUUCCAUCAUAAACUUGGAAGAAAGCCGAUAAAAAGACCCACUUCUAACAAUUUUUUUGUUCAGAACGUUAAGUUUUGGAAGACAUAAGUAAAAGAAUGGGGAGUAGAAAAAGAAAAAACAAAAGACCAAAAUCGGCAAUUGGAUUCGUAUAGGACUGAAGAAGAACUAAAAGGGCUUGAAAUGUGAUAGCUUAAAGGAUUUAGGAAUUUUGUGUUCAAAGGCUCUGACUUCGAAUCCAAUUGAAGGGGAAGUGGAAUCCGUUGAAUCCGUCUACAGUGGUUUGCAUAUUUUAAUUUUGCAUUUUGGUAAUUUUAAGGGUAUAUUAGUAUUUUUAUGUCAACUUUUGGUUAUAAUUAUCAUAAAUUUAAAAGGGUGGCUAUAAUUAGAUUUUGCUAGUCCUCAAGCAAAAUGAAACAAACAAAAGAAACAAAACACAAUCUAGACCUUCCAACAUUUGUCUUAGGGAUUUCCAAUGAACAUGACAUGCUAAAAAUCAUUACUUACACAGAUUUUGGCCAUCCUUACCCUCAAGCACAUACUUAAUCAUAGUUACCAUCACUAGCUCGCAUUUAAUCCAUUAAAACAACAUUUUGAACGUAGUAACAUGCCUUAGAGAAUUCCCUCAAUUCCUUACUAGAUAUGUACUCAAUUUUCACUCAGAUUUUCUGACUACACACCCUACACUAGGUAUAUGUGAGAAGAUUGAUGUAAACAUGAAAACUAGUACUCACAUAUGUUAUAACAAAGAAAGCAAUUUUUUUGAAUUAUUAAUGCAUGUAUAUAUAUGAUCUCAUGAACGGAAUGCCACUACUUAGAAGCGAGAACCAGGGAUUCCAUAUGCUCAUAGCAAUUCCAAACUCCACAUAUUGAAACACACAACGCCCAAGAUAGAAGUCUAAGGGUUGUAACGAGGCUAGGGUAUUGGCUAACAAAGAAAGGGUAAGGGUAGACAACGUUCUUAAAACAAUAGUAAGCAAAGUAAUGAAAUUGACACUUAGAAUUCACUUUUUGAAUGCAACAACUAACUUUAAACACAAGGGAAGAUUCACAAAACACUUAGGGCCAGAUUCACACUUUUGGACACUUUCUUCAACAACCAAUACUUGUGAGUUCAUUCUCACUUAUUUUCAACUCUUUUUCUUUCUUUUCAACACACUUUUUUCUUUUCGUUUUCUUUUUCCACGUUUUUUUCACAAAUAUUUUUUUUUCUUUUCUAACCCGUGCCCUAUUUCUUUGGCACAAAAAAAGACAACUUUUGAAAUCCUUCCCCCACACUUGUUUUCUGAAUUAAUGUUGAUCAAAGUGAAUUCUAUCUAAGUUACGCUCCACUAUACCUUAAGAACAAGGGUAUGGAAAGUCCUAUUCUCGGCUAGGUAAGGAUAAUGUGGUUAACAAAGAAAAUAGGCUAAACAAGGCUCAACGGGGUUAAACUUACAAAACAAAUGCAUGGGAUGAAGAAUUUUUGGCUCUGAUGGUAACUACUAAACAACUUCAUCUUGUUGUGUGUUAUGCACUUAAUUUUAAGCUUUGAAUGAAAUGGGCAUGAGUUCUAGUCUUUGGAACUAUAAUGAUGAAAACGCAUUCUAAGUAGUAACCAAGCAAAGAAUAAUGAGAUCAUGCAACAACUUUAGAAAACAAGAAUGCACAGAUUAAUAACUCUCCAAAUAAACGUUUACGCUCAAGUCUCUCAGGGAUGUAGCGUUAGUUUGAGUUCCUUCCUUCAAGCAUGUUACAAAACUGAUUUUUUUUCUUUUUGAUUACAUGUGAAUUCAUAAACGUCAACCAUGACCAAGCAUAAACUAAAGGCAUAUCAAACUUCCAUCCAUGUUUGUAACUCUCUUUAACAGUCAUGCAAUUAAAAACCAAAUCCUCAUCAUUGUGUUGGAAGGUACCCUAAGACAAUACACAAAAACGACUCUUUUUGGUUUGUUUUUCAAAACUUUUCAUUUUUUUUUCCUUCAAAUUUUCGAUUUUUCUUUUCAAAACACACUAAAACAGCUCAAAAUGCACUAAAAACACCUAAAACAGUGAGAAACAACUUUAGAGGGGAUAGGUGAUAAAAACCCACGAAUUUUCAUGCAAAAACAACUUGUUUACCCCCCCCCAUACUUAAACUAAACAUUGUCCUCAAUGUUUCAAACAUAGACUCACACAAAAGUAAACAAACAACAAACUAAGCAUGGCAAAAUAAAUGCUGUAAAGAGAAGGUUUUAGGAACGCAAAUCUAGUUUUGGAGUGAAAAUUCCAUCUUUUCCUUGUUGAAUGCAUGGGUUGCCUCCCAAGAAGCACUUGCUUUAACGUCUUGCAGCCGGACGAUACUUCCAUUCAAGCUCCCCUAGGUCCCAUGGCAUGGAAUUGAUCUUUGAAUGGAAGGUGAUACUUGAAAUGAUCUGGCAUUGGUUCAAAUUCUAGAGUGGGUGCCUGAUUCAUCAAAAUCAACAUGUUAGUAUAAAACGUAAUGGAAAUUGGAGAACAUGACUUACUUGCUUUGUCCGACAAGAACUCAAUGACGAACACCACUUCUUUAAAAGUUUCAGGGAGAUUGGACUUAGCCAGAUUGAAUGUGAUGGUUAGAACUUGUGUCGUGUCAUAAAAUUCAACUUCUUUGGGCUUUGUUGUCUCAUGUACAACCUCUUUGAUAAAUUCUUGAUAUCUCCCAUCCACUUCUUUCUUUUGAAUUAUUCUUCUUGGUGUACAAAGUUCUUUGAACAAUUCAACGCAUUCUGAAACUGACACACCCUAACCGAGAUCAAGGCAUGCUGGCCAUCACGUGAGAGUGACGUAGCCAUGUGCAUAGUGCAGAAGCAAUAGAGAUAAGAAAUAUACGAAUAAUUAAAAACCGAAUUACUAGAGUGCACUACUAAACAGGAAGUGAUAGGAGUUAGUUACAACAGUAAAUGAUCGGAUCAUAUUUAUAUAUAUUUUUACUUCAAAUUCACUCGUCUUUUCUUGGUUAGUUCCUUAUAUUUUUGAGCUAUUUACGUUAUUUUUGUGUUUAUAGGAUCUGUUAUGCAAAGAAAAUAAAAAUAGCACAAAUGAGUUUAAAUAAUAAACAGGAAAGUGGAACACGGGUGGACCACUAGAAAAAUAAUGGAGCAAAUAAAAGAAUUAAAGAUGGAGCAAGUGGAUCGCUAAUUGUGAAUUGAAAUGGCUGCCUUUUAAGUAGGCAGAGAGACACGGGCUGGAGAAAGCAGAAAAGAAAAGGAACAAAAUGAGCACAAGGCAGCAGAAAGAGAAGAGUGGGAGAGCACGGACGAAAAAUAUAAUUGAAAGGAAGGAAGUGGAUGGUGCACUGGCGGGGAGAGACUGACAGCGCAGUUUGAGUGGGGAAAGAAAGAAAAAUAAGAAAGGAGGAUAGAGGGAAGUUAGGUGGGAUAGAAAAGAAAUAAAAUAGGGAUAGAAAGGACGGAAAGGGGGGAAGAACGCUGCCCUUUGGCAGCGAGGUCAGAGGGGAGAAGUGGAAGACACGGGGAGAGCAGUAUGGUGGGGUGAGUACGGGACAACCAAGAAAAGGAGAGGAGACUGAUACGAGCAGAAGACUGGCGCAGGAGGGAGGUGUCACGGACAGCAGAAAGAGGGAGAGGUCAGCACGUACUGACAGCAGAAAGAAAAGAACGCGGAAGUGGAAAGAAGGAAGGAAUAGGCUGCCUUUGGGCAGCGUGAGCGCCAGCGUGAGACCAGAGGGUGGAUAGGGAGAAGCAGCAAAGCUGCAGUGCCAGAAGGCUUCAAUCUUCUCUCUUGGUUAAAUCUUUCCAAACUUCUAUUUUAUUUCUGUUUUAAUAAUGUGUAACUAAAUUUAUUUUGGCUAGAGGUUAAUUCAAAACCAUGAAUAUAUUUGUAAUAUGAAUUGAUUACCUUCAGUUGUGAUUUCUGAGUUGUGAUUUAAUUUGCUUAA